RNAcentral lists this ribosomal RNA (528 nucleotides) under uncultured bacterium. RNAcentral describes it as "bacterial SSU rRNA". It matches the Rfam family "Bacterial small subunit ribosomal RNA", at positions 981 to 1509 of the family's 1533-position model. The record is from RNAcentral.
UUGACAUACUAAGAACUUUCCAGAGAUGGAUUGGUGCCUUCGGGAACUUAGAUACAGGUGCUGCAUGGCUGUCGUCAGCUCGUGUCGUGAGAUGUUGGGUUAAGUCCCGCAACGAGCGCAACCUUUUCCUUAUUUGCCAGCGGGUCAUGCCGGGAACUUUAAGGAUACUGCCAGUGACAAACUGGAGGAAGGCGGGGACGACGUCAAGUCAUCAUGGCCCUUACGGCCAGGGCUACACACGUGCUACAAUGGUCGGUACAAAGGGUUGCUACCUCGCGAGAGGAUGCUAAUCUCAAAAAGCCGAUCGUAGUCCGGAUCGCAGUCUGCAACUCGACUGCGUGAAGUCGGAAUCGCUAGUAAUCGCGGAUCAGAAUGCCGCGGUGAAUACGUUCCCGGGCCUUGUACACACCGCCCGUCACACCAUGGGAGUUUGUUGCACCAGAAGUAGGUAGUCUAACCGCAAGGAGGACGCUUACCACGGUGUGGCCGAUGACUGGAGUGAAGUCGUAACAAGGUAAGCGUAGAUGA